GCCUGGGUGGCUCAGUCUGUUGAGCGUCCGACUUCAGCUCAGGUCAUGAUCUCACGGUUUGUGGGUUCGAGCCCCACGUCAGGCU
RNAcentral lists this transfer RNA (85 nucleotides) under Felis catus (domestic cat). It matches the Rfam family "tRNA". From Rfam's summary of the family: Transfer RNA (tRNA) molecules are approximately 80 nucleotides in length. Their secondary structure includes four short double-helical elements and three loops (D, anti-codon, and T loops). Further hydrogen bonds mediate the characteristic L-shaped molecular structure. tRNAs have two regions of fundamental functional importance: the anti-codon, which is responsible for specific mRNA codon recognition, and the 3' end, to which the tRNAs corresponding amino acid is attached (by aminoacyl-tRNA synthetases). tRNAs cope with the degeneracy of the genetic code in two manners: having more than one tRNA (with a specific anti-codon) for a particular amino acid; and 'wobble' base-pairing, i.e. permitting non-standard base-pairing at the 3rd anti-codon position. The record is from Rfam by way of RNAcentral. Lineage: Eukaryota; Metazoa; Chordata; Mammalia; Carnivora; Felidae.